Molecule: long non-coding RNA, 549 nt
Organism: Eucalyptus grandis
Lineage: Eukaryota; Viridiplantae; Streptophyta; Magnoliopsida; Myrtales; Myrtaceae
Exons: 2
Source: RefSeq, a predicted model, not a curated record
CUGACUCCGAUGCACUUUCUCAGAUUUAAGGAACUCAAGUUCUUCAAAUCACUAAUGAAUGGCCCAAUUUGAGAUAACUGAGUGCAAUCUUCCAGUAUCAAAAUCUCCAAAUUGAUUGGAGCUCGAAAGUUCAACGACGCAGACUUGCGAAUCUUCAGUGACUGGACUCCAAGACAGAUCGAGAAUGACUAACUUCUUCAAAUGCAUAUUAGCUAGGUCAGAAAUCAAACGGCAUGCUGACCAUUCAAGCCAUCUCAAAUUUGGAAGAAGAUUCUCGGUGUUUCCCUGAAUGUUAGCCCGGUCCAGUCUAAGGUACCUCAAAUUCGACAUUUUAUGAAAUUCUUCACAUGUAAAACAGACGAUGCAACCCUCUUCAACCGCAAGACCUAUACCUUCGACGUUUCUAGUAUCCUGUCAACCUCGAUUGGGGGAAAAAUGUGUGAGUAAUUUGAGAACUUUAAUAUCUUACUCCAUUCAAUGAAAUGGAGCAAAUCAGACUUACAAAAUCAGUGGUAUCCACUACGCAUUAUAAAUUGGGUUAAGAACAAA